GACGAACGCUGGCGGCGUGCUUAACACAUGCAAGUCGAGCGGUAAGGCCCUUUCGGGGGGUACACGAGCGGCGAACGGGUGAGUAACACGUGGGUGACCUGCCCUCAGCUCUGGGAUAAGCCUGGGAAACUGGGUCUAAUACUGGAUAUGACUCCACGGUGCAUGUCGUGGGGUGGAAAGCCUUGUGCGGCUGAGGAUGGGCCCGCGGCCUAUCAGCUUGUUGGUGGGGNGAUGGCCUACCAAGGCGACGACGGGUAGCCGGCCUGAGAGGGCGACCGGCCACACUGGGACUGAGACACGGCCCAGACUCCUACGGGAGGCAGCAGUGGGGAAUCUUGCGCAAAUGGGCGAAAAGCCUGACGCAGCGACGCCGCGUGA
RNAcentral lists this ribosomal RNA (378 nucleotides) under uncultured bacterium. Its description in RNAcentral is "bacterial SSU rRNA". It matches the Rfam family "Bacterial small subunit ribosomal RNA", at positions 28 to 404 of the family's 1533-position model. The record is from RNAcentral.